Mizuhopecten yessoensis (Yesso scallop) is the source of this 285-nucleotide long non-coding RNA. RefSeq lists it as uncharacterized. The record is from RefSeq and is a predicted model, not a curated record. The transcript is spliced from 2 exons. NCBI's taxonomy places the organism in Eukaryota, Metazoa, Mollusca, Bivalvia, Pectinida, Pectinidae.
UGGGAGAGUAGGAGCCAAUCAGAAUUUAGCUUGGCCGUCACUGCGCUCCGAGUCACACACAGAGCAGCAAGGCUGUCUGCGUCCGUAAAACCUCAAGCUAUGGAGUAGAACAGGUUUAUAGAACUUCCCAGGGUUCGAGUGAUGGGGACCAUGCAGUUGGGGUCCUGUGGCCAGUGUGGGGACGGGAUAACACGAGAGUGACGGCACCCAGGCCAUUUCAACUUCCACCUACAUCCUUCGUCACAGACUCUUCUCAGACGGCUCAGACGCUUCGUGGAGACGUCA